AUUGAACGCUGGCGGCAGGCCUAACACAUGCAAGUCGAGCGGAUGAAGGGAGCUUGCUCCUGGAUUCAGCGGCGGACGGGUGGGUAAUGCCUAGGAAUCUGCCUGGUAGUGGGGGAUAACGUCCGGAAACGGGCGCUAAUACCGCAUACGUCCUGAUGGAGAAAGUGGGGGAUCUUCGGACCUCGCGCUAUCUGAUGAGCCUAGGUCGGAUUAGCUAGUUGGUGGGGUAACGGCCUACCAAGGCGACGAUCCGUAACUGGUCUGAGAGGAUGAUCAGUCACACUGGAACUGAGACACGGUCCAGACUCCUACGGGAGGCAGCAGUAGGGAAUAUUGGACAAUGGGCGAAAGCCUGAUCCAGCCAUGCCGCGUGUGUGAAGAAGGUCUUCGGAUUGUAAAGCACUUUAAGUUGGGAGGAAGGGCAGUAAGUUAAUACCUUGCUGUUUUGACGUUACCAACAGAAUAAGCACCGGCUAACUUCGUG
RNAcentral lists this ribosomal RNA (484 nucleotides) under uncultured bacterium. RNAcentral's name for it is "partial 16S ribosomal RNA". It matches the Rfam family "Bacterial small subunit ribosomal RNA", at positions 30 to 507 of the family's 1533-position model. The record is from RNAcentral.